GACGAACGCUGGCGGCGUGCUUAACACAUGCAAGUCGAACGGAAAGGCCCUGCUUUUGUGGGGUGCUCGAGUGGCGAACGGGUGAGUAACACGUGAGUAACCUGCCCUUGACUUUGGGAUAACUUCAGGAAACUGGGGCUAAUACCGGAUAGGAGCUCCUGCUGCAUGGUGGGGGUUGGAAAGUUUCGGCGGCUGGGGAUGGACUCGCGGCUUAUCAGCUUGUUGGUGGGGUAGUGGCUUACCAAGGCUUUGACGGGUAGCCGGCCUGAGAGGGUGACCGGCCACAUUGGGACUGAGAUACGGCCCAGACUCCUACGGGAGGCAGCAGUAGGGAAUAUUGCACAAUGGGCGGAAGCCUGAUGCAGCAACGCCGCGUGCGGGAUGACGGCCUUCGGGUUGUAAACCGCUUUCGCCUGUGACGAAGCGUGAGUGACGGUAAUGGGUAAAGAAGCACCGGCUAACUACGUG
Molecule: ribosomal RNA, 468 nt
Filed under: uncultured bacterium
Lineage: Bacteria
Description: partial 16S ribosomal RNA
Rfam family: Bacterial small subunit ribosomal RNA
Source: RNAcentral